Molecule: ribosomal RNA, 497 nt
Filed under: uncultured bacterium
Lineage: Bacteria
Description: partial 16S ribosomal RNA
Rfam family: Bacterial small subunit ribosomal RNA
Source: RNAcentral
GAUGAACGCUGGCGGCGUGCCUAAUACAUGCAAGUCGAGCGAACGGACGAGAAGCUUGCUUCUCUGAUGUUAGCGGCGGACGGGUGAGUAACACGUGGAUAACCUACCUAUAAGACUGGGAUAACUUCGGGAAACCGGAGCUAAUACCGGAUAAUAUUUUGAACCGCAUGGUUCAAUAGUGAAAGACGGUCUUGCUGUCACUUAUAGAUGGAUCCGCGCUGCAUUAGCUAGUUGGUAAGGUAACGGCUUACCAAGGCGACGAUGCGUAGCCGACCUGAGAGGGUGAUCGGCCACACUGGAACUGAGACACGGUCCAGACUCCUACGGGAGGCAGCAGUAGGGAAUCUUCCGCAAUGGGCGAAAGCCUGACGGAGCAACGCCGCGUGAGUGAUGAAGGUCUUCGGAUCGUAAAACUCUGUUAUUAGGGAAGAACAUAUGUGUAAGUAACUGUGCACAUCUUGACGGUACCUAAUCAGAAAGCCACGGCUAACUACGUG